AUUGAACGCUGGCGGCAGGCCUAACACAUGCAAGUCGAACGAGUGGCGGACGGGUGAGUAAUGUCUGGGACACUGCCUGAUGGAGGGGGAUACCUACUGGAAACGGUAGCUAAUACCGCAUACCAUCAGAUGUGCCCAGAUGGGAUUCGCUAGUGGGUGGGGUAACGGCUCACCAAGGCGACGCUCCCUAGCUGGUCUGAGAGGAUGACCAGCCACACGGGAACUGAGACACGGUCCAGACUCCUACGGGAGGAAGCAGUGGGGAAUAGUGCACAAUGGGCGCAAGCCGGAUGCAGCCAGGCCGCGGGUAUGAAGAAGGCCUUCGGGUUGUAAAGUACUUUCAGCGGGGAGGCGGUACCCGCAGAAGAAGCACCGGCUAACUCCGUGCCAGCAGCCGCGGUAAUUC
Molecule: ribosomal RNA, 406 nt
Filed under: uncultured bacterium
Lineage: Bacteria
Description: partial 16S ribosomal RNA
Rfam family: Bacterial small subunit ribosomal RNA
Source: RNAcentral